CAAGAUCAACUACAAGUUGAACGUGCAAACAUACAAGAGAGGAUUAACUUGGAGCGUGCUAAGAGAGAACAACUUGAGGAGAGGUUAAAAGAAGAGCGUGCUGAAAGGGAAAGAUUGUUGCAAGAGGAGCGAACAUCAAGACUGGAAUUUGAAAAAACAUGAUGGCAAAGUUUGUAGAAUUGAGCCAACAGAUGGGAACCCAACAGGUGCCUACGAAGAGGGUCGACAACAAAGAAAAUAGUAAUCCAAACUUGCAAAAUAUUCUGUUACAGAGAUCUAGUCCUAAUAAGACAUCAGGUUAAAGGCCAACUGCUAUUUCUUCAAAUGCGCUCAUACAAGCUGCAGCAAGGAAUUCUCAAAUGUUUAAAGCAAUGGUAAGUCAGAACCUUGCUUUCUCUUCAUAUUCACCUGCAUUUUAUAGGCCAUUGGCCUUCAUAAUUAGCUAGUUGCUUGUUCUCUUUUACCAUGUGUUGUCGCUGCAUCGAGUCACAACUUAAACAAAAAAUGAAUAUGUGCUAGCUAGGGACAUGAACUUUACUGAAACUAUACAUCGAGUCACAACUUAAAUUAAUAGCAGAAACUUUUAUUAUUGAGGAUUCCAAGUACCAGCUCAAAUUAUGGUUUUCUUAUUAUGAAAUUAAUGUAUGUCAUCGCUCGGCAAACUCUGUUGCUCACGAGCUUGCUAGUCUUGGUAGGAUGUACAAACCUAACCACUAUGUGGAAUGGGAGGCCGAUGUACCAGCCUUUAUGGCUGCAUGUGCUUUGGGUGAUUCAGCCCAACAUCCUUAAGUUAUAAAGUAAUGUUUUUU
Molecule: non-coding RNA, 809 nt
Organism: Triticum urartu
Lineage: Eukaryota; Viridiplantae; Streptophyta; Magnoliopsida; Poales; Poaceae
Source: RefSeq, a predicted model, not a curated record